This 399-nucleotide ribosomal RNA is filed under the name uncultured bacterium. RNAcentral describes it as "bacterial SSU rRNA". It matches the Rfam family "Bacterial small subunit ribosomal RNA", at positions 75 to 473 of the family's 1533-position model. The record is from RNAcentral.
GGCCUUUUGCUUCCAAUCUAGUGGCGAACGGGUGAGUAAUACAUCGGAACGUACCGUGUAGUGGGGGAUAACGUAGCGAAAGUUACGCUAAUACCGCAUACGAUCCACGGAUGAAAGCAGGGGACCUUCGGGCCUUGUGCUAUACGAGCGGCCGAUGUCUGAUUAGCUAGUUGGUGAGGUAAAGGCUCACCAAGGCGACGAUCAGUAGCGGGUCUGAGAGGAUGAUCCGCCACACUGGGACUGAGACACGGUCCAGACUCCUACGGGAGGCAGCAGUGGGGAAUUUUGGACAAUGGGCGGAAGCCUGAUCCAGCCAUGCCGCGUGAGUGAAGAAGGCCUUCGGGUUGUAAAGCUCUUUCGGCCGGGAAGAAAUCGCAUGGGUUAAUACCCUGUGUGGAU